This 520-nucleotide ribosomal RNA is filed under the name uncultured Glomus. RNAcentral describes it as "SSU rRNA". It matches the Rfam family "Eukaryotic small subunit ribosomal RNA", at positions 569 to 1092 of the family's 1831-position model. Lineage: Eukaryota; Fungi; Glomeromycota; Glomeromycetes; Glomerales; Glomeraceae. The record is from RNAcentral.
AGCAGCCGCGGUAAUUCCAGCUCCAAUAGCGUAUAUUAAAGUUGUUGCAGUUAAAAAGCUCGUAGUUGAAUUUCGAGAUCAAAUUGUUGGUCGUGCCUUGGUACGCACUGGCGUUAUUGGUUUCUCCCUUCUGAAGAACCAAGAUGUCAUUAAUUUGGUGUCUUGGGGAAUCAGGACUGUUACUUUGAAAAAAUUAGAGUGUUUAAAGCAGGCUCGCGCUUGAAUACAUUAGCAUGGAAUAAUGAAAUAGGACGUUUGAUUCUAUUUUGUUGGUUUCUAGGAUCGACGUAAUGAUUAAUAGGGAUAGUUGGGGGCAUUAGUAUUCAAUUGUCAGAGGUGAAAUUCUUGGAUUUAUUGAAGACUAACUACUGCGAAAGCAUUUGCCAAGGAUGUUUUCAUUAAUCAAGAACGAAAGUUAGGGGAUCGAAGACGAUCAGAUACCGUCGUAGUCUUAACCAUAAACUAUGCCGACUAGGGAUCGGAUGAUGUUAAUUUUUAAUGACUCAUUCGGCGCCUUAAC